UACGGGGGGGGCAAGCGUUGUUCGGAAUUACUGGGCGUAAAGGGCUCGUAAGCGGCCAACUAAGUCAGACGUGAAAUCCCUCGGCUUAACCGGGGAACUGCGUCUGAUACUGGAUGGCUUGAAUCCGGGAGAGGGAUGCGGAAUUCCAGGUGUAGCGGUGAAAUGCGUAGAUAUCUGGAGGAACACCGGUGGCGAAGGCGGCAUCCUGGACCGGCAUUGACGCUGAGGAGCGAAAGCCAGGGGAGCAAACGGG
Molecule: ribosomal RNA, 253 nt
Filed under: uncultured bacterium
Lineage: Bacteria
Description: partial 16S ribosomal RNA
Rfam family: Bacterial small subunit ribosomal RNA
Source: RNAcentral